Molecule: ribosomal RNA, 253 nt
Filed under: uncultured bacterium
Lineage: Bacteria
Description: partial 16S ribosomal RNA
Rfam family: Bacterial small subunit ribosomal RNA
Source: RNAcentral
UACGUAGGGGGCUAGCGUUGUCCGGAUUUAUUGGGCGUAAAGAGCGUGUAGGCGGCUAGGUAGGUCCGUUGUGAAAACUCGAGGCUCAACCUCGAGACGCCGGUGGAAACCAUCUAGCUAGAGUCCGGAAGAGGAGAGUGGAAUUCCUGGUGUAGCGGUGAAAUGCGCAGAUAUCAGGAGGAACACCAAUUGCGAAGGCAGCUCGCUGGGACGUUACUGACGCUGAGACGCGAAAGCGUGGGGAGCAAACAGG